Passer domesticus (house sparrow) is the source of this 4929-nucleotide long non-coding RNA. RefSeq lists it as uncharacterized. The transcript has 10 exons. NCBI's taxonomy places the organism in Eukaryota, Metazoa, Chordata, Aves, Passeriformes, Passeridae. The record is from RefSeq and is a predicted model, not a curated record.
ACAGAGUUACAGGUUUUCUAGUUAGUUACUAGUAAGUAUAAUACAGUAUAGUAUAGUAUCUUUCUUUAAGGUAGUUGUAAUGUAAUAUAGUAUCGUUUUAAUAAAUCGAGUGUUCAGCAUUCUGAAGCCUUGGAGUCAGAUGCCAGUCAUUCCCAGAUGCUGGGGUUGCCUGCAAUUACUAUAGGUGUGUAUUAGCAAAAUAAAUGUGAUAAAUGUAUUAAGAAUAAUGUCCUGUGUUUGUAACCCUAAGAUAAGGAAACUGCUAGUCAUGUAAGCCCCCUUGGGACUGUGACUUUAGAUAAGUGACCAAAACAAGGGUGGAUGACAAACUUGUAAACAUAUAAUAAUGAACUUGUAAAUGUAUAAUGACAAAUUUGCACAGGUAUAAAAAAAUCACUUAAAAAUUACCAUGGUGGACACACGCAUGGAGGUGUUAACCCCUACGUGCUCCAGGCCUGGCCAAUAAAGGUGUGCUUUACAGUACCUUACUGUGGAGUACAUUCCUUUGAAUCACCAGAUUCACAGGAGCUAAUCACUUGGAAUCUACUUGUCCUUGGGUGGGAUGGUUACUGAAAAAAUUUGCCGUUGCAUGUUGAUAGUGGGUCAAAAUAUCCCAACUCAGCCAGCCAAUAGGGCUGGAGUGAAAAAACAGCCAACCUGUGCAUCCAUCUGCACUUUGGUCUAGAAAACAGGAUGGUUUUGCUCUCCACUUUUGGGGUCCAUGAUAUUUUCAAUACCAGUUACACUGUGGUGUGACUGGAGGAGAGGCGCUCCCUUGACUUAAACUUGCCCCUGUUGGCUGCUCCAUAUACUUUCUUGCAGUGUGAACUGGAGACAAAGUCCUAAAAAAUGAAGCAGUAGCCUCAUUGGGCUGAUUUUGUCAACUUUAACAGGAAUCUGGACUUAUCAUCCCCCUGCAAAGCACCUUCCCUUUUCCUCCCACAGUGGAAUGAUUCAAAGUAGGCCCUGGUCCUCAGGGUUUUCAGGCUUUUCUGGAGGUGCUUUUGUUUGUGAAAGUCAGUUUCCGCCCAUUUUGCACCUUGUUUAAUGCAGGGAGAGGAAGUGGUGUGUCCUGGGCAAGCUUGGACUCACAGCGGGACCAUUCAGCCUCUGCCACUACACCUGCAGGGCUUUGUUUAAGGUGAAAGACUGAGAAGGAGUUCAGCAACAGCUUUCAGUGUGGAAAAAUGGCAACUGCUGGUGUAGGGGCUGGGCUGAGCUGAGCUGAGCCAGGCUGGUGUUCGCAUGUGGGGAAAUGAGUGUUUGAUAGUGUGUGGGGUUGGGCUGCAGGGUCUCUCUGGGGGCUCGGCCUCUGGUAUGGAGAAAAGGAGAAAGUGUGUUUGAUUUGCUGGAAAGCAGGUUGAGUAGAAAACUGUUACAAUGUGUUAAGAAUUUGAGCUCAUUUCUUUGACUUCCGAGUUUCUAUGAAAGGAGAUUUUUUUUUGCCCCUUCUUUUCCUCCCCCCACUGCCUUAUUUUCCCCCAGCCAUGCAGCUUUAAAAGGUUGAAAUUCUGUGUGCUAUAGCAAAUCCACUAUAAUAAACUGAGUUUGAGUUAUAUUCAAAUGAACUUCCUGAAUUUUCAGACAGAAUUUGAAGAUAAGGGGUCUGGAAAAGUCAAACACAUGGAUUCAGGCUGGAGGUGGUAUUUGGAGAGAGGAAAAGGCCAAUUUCUGAAUGGUCUUUGUUGGUUGAAAUGGAGCUGUAGUGAUUUGUACCCACUGAGGACUUGGCCUGAUGUGGUGAAAGGUGAGGAGAGACCUCCAUUCUCCCUGCACUUCCAGCCUGAGCCCUGUCCUGUGAACCGGAAUGGUAUUGUGAACAUGGCUGCCAGCUUCUGGAGGCAUUUUGCAGUUAUCUAGAAGUAACCUGCUUAAUGACAGCUGCUACCAGAUGGAUAUAGCUGUGCAUAUUGACAUGUAACAUACUGGACCUUAAAACCACUGGUCGAUCUUGCCAGACUUUCACAGAGGUCAGGUAAGGUAUCUGAAGAGGAAGAGUCAGCUGCUUCAUUUUUCAAGUUCAAGAACACUUAAGAUGCUGCAAAAAGACAGAACCAAUUAUCUAUCAAGCACUUGCAUAAUCCUAAAAUAUACCUCUCUGGAUUUAAAUACAGUAAAGUAGCAGUAUAUAAUCAUUUUCGGGAAAAGAGUUUUGAAGUCAAACUGCCUACAUUGAAGUAACUACCAGUCCUUGGAAGUUAGAGGAAAAUGUUGAGGUCUCAGAAAAUGCUGAUGAAAUUUUAUCACUGCAUGGGUGACUCAGACGUGUGUGAGGGAGAAUGAUGAGGAGGACUCCGUCUUAUCAGAAGGUCAUUUUAUCUUGAACAAUGUGUCUGGGACAUGGGUUCUUCUAGCUCCAUGCCUGCAGUUGAGGAGGAGAAGGGCGAUUUGUCUAGGUUCCAUGGAAAUGUAGUGAAAAAUGGGGCUGUGAUCUAAGUGCUCAUUCCCAGAAGUGCAGCCCUGGUGGAGGACAAGCAAGGGAUGUGCUAUGUUUCCUCAGAGGCACCAAAGCAUCAGCACCUUGCCAGAGCUCUCUGAGGGCUUCUCAGCUUCCCAGGAGAGAGAAAUCCUGGCAAAGGGAUUUUCCCAGAAAAUAUGACAGUGACAGAGGGGGAUAAAGGAGCUGGAAGAUAAUACCUGUACUUGGAGAGAAACCACUGCAGAAAGAGUAGAUAUUCUCAAGGCCAGCAGAUUAGCAUCCACAGGAAACAGCAUGUUUGCCAGGUAGUGUGGAAGGAUAGAGGGCUCGCCAGGGACCAGCUUGAUAAAGGGGCAACAUAACCUGGCAGUCACAUGUGUAACUCAUGCCAGGGACGUGAGUAACAGUGAUCCUGAUCCCUUCGAAGAGAACUCUAGUACAAAAAUCUCUCUAGCACAGGCUGGAUUAUUCCUCAUAGCCACUUCUCCAUCCUCCUGAACUGGCUGAAAUAUCAAGUAAAAUAACUACAUGCAGGAGGAUGCACAGAUUCCACAUGGAGACAAAACAAAGGACAGACCUUCAGGUGAAGUGGAAUGCAUGGAAAAAACAUGGAGCAUUGAAGGGGAGGCUGCCACAUCUCCACAAGCAACAGGAGGCAGGAAGAUGUGCUAGAAAAUGUCAGUCUGGUAAAACCAUUGUGAGGAGCAUGCCAGACCUCUGAGCAAAAAGAAUAACAAGAGCACAGUGGGGUCAAGUUAGUGACUAUACACACUUAAGGAGAUGACACCUGAAGGCUGCAGUUAGUGGAGGGGAGGUGAUGUCCGAGCUGGUAUGCAAAUGAGGAAGUCCCUCACCAAAUCUCACAAGGAAACCCCUAAAAACAAUGAGCCAACAUGGAAUUAAGAAAUUUAAGUGAUGUCUAAAGGUGAGGAACUUAAUCCCCUGUCUGCUAAGAUCGUUUUUACCACUCACCCUUACUUAAAAAAAAAAAGUCGACUAGGGGGACCUCGAAAAGGGACCUCGAAUGUCAGACUGAAAAGGUGGACUCUCCUAUUCUCUCAUGAGGAUGGAAGCCCCAGCUCUGCCUGCAGACCAGCGGACACAGCUGCAUCAUCCUCUUCCUCCGUGCCACUCCUGGGAGCAGCGGUGGCAUGGGCGCGACCCAUUGGUUCUCCCAACCUGAGCUGAUUUUUUUAAUAAAGGCAUUAAAAAGGAGAAAGAUCUCCUGCCCUAUUUAUUUCACCGGGCCCAGGAGCACUCUCAGGUUGGACCAGCUUGGCCAAGAUCUGACCACUGUUGAGAUUCAUUUUCAGCUAUCGGCCAGGGGGAGGAAAAGCCAUCAGCCCCCAGCGUGAUACUGCCGAGUUCUGACUGGCUGCUGAGACCUUAGCCGCUCCCCCUCCAGCAUGGCCACCAAAGAAAUUCUCCACCACAAACAGCAAUGACCACCACCCGGCAGGGAUCAUGUCCCUGCAGUGAUCACGUCCCUGAAGGGAUCACCAUCUGCAAGUCCCAUCUUAACUCUUUCAGUGCCCAAAUAAGCUUGUAAACCCUUCCUCCCUUGAGUGAGAGAAAAGGACAGAGUGAGAAGUAGAGGAACAACAUGAAGACACCAAUAUCAGUGAAAAAAAAGAGUAAAAUCUCAAAUGGGAAAGAUGAAGAGAUGCCUUAAUCUUAAGGCUGAAAUCCUUUUAUAAACCUAUAGAGAAACAUGUAAUUGAUACAUCAGACUCUUUUUCCCUAUAACUCAUUGAAAAAGUAUGGGGAGAUACUGUACAAAUUGUAAAUAUUAGCAAGACUUCCAUGCUAAAGUAAACAGAUGUUGUUUCAGAUGUAAACAGAUGUAUAAUCCCAUGAGAAGUCUGAACAGAAAGAGAGGGAAGAGUGAUGAAGACUCUCUGCCCAAGGGAAAGAUCUCUGUUCUCAAAGAUAAAGAUGAUCUCAGAAAUAGAUUAAGAGAACCUUUGCUCUUAUACAGUUCAUUUUUAAAAUAGUACUCCAUAAGUUAAUGUGGCCCAUAAACACAGCUGUGGGGAAAGCUGUAAAAAUGGGAAGGACUUCAUGAUUGCAGAUUUUCCAGGCAGCCUCUAUUUGUGAAAAUUGAAAGCAAUGAGAGAACUGUUUUCUUAUGGAGAAGUCUCCAUAAAUCGACAAGAGGGACUCUUCUCCCUAAGUGAACUGAAGACAAACCAUUCCAGAAGUGAUAAACUGACUGAAGUGUUUCUGUACAUUGUGAGUGGGAAGGAAAAGGUUGUAGGGGGGAGGAGAAGUGUUCUAAAGGUUUUAUUCUGAUUCUAAUUAUUCUUUCUUUUAGUACUGGUAAUAAAGCUUUCUUUAUACCCUUUUAAAGUUUUGAGUCUGUUUAACCUUUUUCUUAAACCUAUCUCACUGCAGAAAAUAUGUAAGUAUAUUGUAGUGAGUGCACUAUCAUUUAGCCAGCACUAGACCCACUACAUUAAUUAGUGCAUUAGCCAGGAAAUCUCUAAUUGGUGAACCAAAACCACUAUGCA